Molecule: non-coding RNA, 140 nt
Organism: Brachypodium distachyon (stiff brome)
Lineage: Eukaryota; Viridiplantae; Streptophyta; Magnoliopsida; Poales; Poaceae
Source: Rfam
UAUGUACUCCCUUCCUCGGUCCAACAAAAAAUAUCUCAAAUUUUAUCAAAUUUGAAUGCAUCUAUAUACUAAGUCAUGUCUAAAUACAUUUAAAUUUUGACAAACUUGAGACAUCUUUUGUUGGACGGAGGGAGUAGCAA